Molecule: transfer RNA, 75 nt
Filed under: Clostridiales bacterium
Lineage: Bacteria; Bacillati; Bacillota; Clostridia; Eubacteriales
Description: tRNA-Gln
Rfam family: tRNA
About the family: Transfer RNA (tRNA) molecules are approximately 80 nucleotides in length. Their secondary structure includes four short double-helical elements and three loops (D, anti-codon, and T loops). Further hydrogen bonds mediate the characteristic L-shaped molecular structure. tRNAs have two regions of fundamental functional importance: the anti-codon, which is responsible for specific mRNA codon recognition, and the 3' end, to which the tRNAs corresponding amino acid is attached (by aminoacyl-tRNA synthetases). tRNAs cope with the degeneracy of the genetic code in two manners: having more than one tRNA (with a specific anti-codon) for a particular amino acid; and 'wobble' base-pairing, i.e. permitting non-standard base-pairing at the 3rd anti-codon position.
Source: RNAcentral
ACCCGUGUGGCGUAAGAGGUAACGUAUCUGACUCUGGAUCAGAGGUUUGGGGUUCAAGUCCCUGCGCGGGUGCCA